CAAUACCACUUUUUAAAAAUACCCCUCUUUCUCAUUUUAUCAAAAAGUCACAUUAAAAUUUGAAAUUUAUCAAAAACAUGUGUGUAAGCUUAUAUUUAUAGACACAAAUUAUCUUUAUAUGUGUGUAAAUUUUUAUAUAUAUUUCAUAAAUACCGUAUAAAUACCUUUUAAAAAUCAUUUAAAAACCUUAUAAAAACUGUGUAAACCUUUUAAAAACCUUAUAAAAACCUUAUAAAUGCCGUUUAGAACCUUUUAAAACCUUAUAAAUAUUUGGAUUUAGUCUCCCAGUAAUAAUCAUAAUCUUGAUGUACCUUCUCAACCAUAUAAAAGUUUAUAAUUUUUCAUAUUUGAAAAGGGGUAUUUUUGAAAAUGGAUAGAAAAGAGGGGUAUUUUUAAAAAUG
RNAcentral lists this long non-coding RNA (401 nucleotides) under Capsella grandiflora. Its description in RNAcentral is "long non-coding RNA (CGRA_LNC001423)". Lineage: Eukaryota; Viridiplantae; Streptophyta; Magnoliopsida; Brassicales; Brassicaceae. The record is from RNAcentral.